GAGAAAGGAAGAGAAGAAACUUGAAGCUAGAGGAAGAAUGGGUUCGGCCAAGGGAAAAAAAGCCCAAAAACGUUACCAAACAGCCCCAAAGUUUUAGCCGCGCUAGGAGAGCUUCCGAGGCAAGUUUUGGAGAGUUUCGGUAAAGACUAACAAGUUGGAAGAUAAGAAAAGCUAGUAAGGCGCGGUACAGGUACACCUAGACAAGUAGAAGCUACUAUAGAAGAUGUUCCAGCGGGGUUAGCAACUCCACUUGUUCCUGGAGUGCUGCCGAGUCAGAGUAUAUGCGCUAUGAUGUUUCAUUCGAAGUUAGAGACUUUGCAGAUAGAGUCGUGGGUAUAGAGUGUCAGCUUUGUAAGCGGCGUCACCAACCGAUAUGUUAUUAUGUAGUAUGUCAUGAGUUUAUGAGAUGAUGGAUUUUGGAUUGCAAGAUUCGGAAAGCGUAGCUAUGUUUUUCAUUUCUUUUUUAUGCAAAAUUCUAAAGAGAUUGAGAAUGUAAUAUGAAUUAGUGGGUUCGCUCGGCUCCGAGCACGGGGUUAGGUGCCCAUCACACCCUGUUGAGAUCGGGGUGUGACAGUAAGACUAAUUGCUAACCUCCUAAAAAGAAUAAGUAGGUGAUGCACCUACUUAGAAUAUGUGGACUGUAUAUUAAAUGAAAAGGGCAAGUAGAUGAUGCAACUACUUACAAUC
Long non-coding RNA from Solanum dulcamara, 687 nucleotides. RefSeq lists it as uncharacterized. The transcript has 4 exons. NCBI's taxonomy places the organism in Eukaryota, Viridiplantae, Streptophyta, Magnoliopsida, Solanales, Solanaceae. The record is from RefSeq and is a predicted model, not a curated record.